This 389-nucleotide ribosomal RNA is filed under the name uncultured bacterium. RNAcentral's name for it is "bacterial SSU rRNA". It matches the Rfam family "Bacterial small subunit ribosomal RNA", at positions 355 to 737 of the family's 1533-position model. The record is from RNAcentral.
UCGAGAAUUUUUCACAAUGGGCGAAAGCCUGAUGGAGCGACGCCGCGUGGGGGAUGAAUGGCUUCGGCCCGUAAACCCCUGUCAUUCGCGAGCAAACGUUAUUAUUUAAAAGAUGAUAGCCUGAUAGUAGCGAAAGAGGAAGGGACGGCUAACUCUGUGCCAGCAGCCGCGGUAAUACAGAGGUCCCAAGCGUUGUUCGGAUUUACUGGGCGUAAAGGGUGCGUAGGUGGUGGGGUAAGUCGGAUGUGAAAUCUCCGAGCUCAACUCGGAAAGUGCAUUGGAGACUAGCCUGAUCGAGGGUUGGAGGGGGGAAUGGAAUACUUGGUGUAGCAGUGAAAUGCGUAGAUAUCAAGUGGAACACCAGGGGCGAAGGCGAGUCCCUGGACAAC